This 869-nucleotide ribosomal RNA is filed under the name uncultured archaeon. RNAcentral's name for it is "bacterial SSU rRNA". It matches the Rfam family "Archaeal small subunit ribosomal RNA", at positions 1 to 878 of the family's 1478-position model. The record is from RNAcentral.
CUCCGGGUUGAUCCUGCCGGACCCGACUGCUAUCAGAGUGAGAUUAAGCCAUGCGAGUUAACGUAGCAAUACGUGGCGCACGGCUCAGUAACACGUAGUCAACAUGCCCAGAGGACGUGGAUAACCUCGGGAAACUGAGUCUAAACCGCGAUAAGUGAGGAUUUCUGGAAUGGUUCCUGACUAAAAUCUAUAUGGCCUCUGGAUUGGACUGCGGCCGAUCAGGCUGUUGGUGAGGUAAUGGCCCACCAAACCUGUAACCGGUACGGGCUCUGAGAGGAGGAGCCCGGAGAUGGGCACUGAGACAAGGGCCCAGGCCCUAUGGGGCGCAGCAGGCGCGAAACCUCUGCAAUAGGCGAAAGCCUGACAGGGUUACUCUGAGUGACUUUCGCUAAGAAAGUCUUUUGGCACCUCUAAAAAGGGUGCAGAAUAAGGGGUGGGCAAGUCUGGUGUCAGCCGCCGCGGUAAUACCAGCACCCCGAGUGGUCGGGACGAUUAUUGGGCCUAAAGCAUCCGUAGCCGGUUCUGCAAGUCCCCCGUUAAAUCCAGCUGCUCAACAGAUGGGCCGCGGAGGAUACUACAGAGCUAGGAGGCAGGAGAGGCAAGCGGUACUCAGUGGGUAGGGGUAAAAUCCGUUGAUCCAUUGAAGACCACCAGUGGCGAAGGCGGCUUGCCAGAAUGCGCUCGACGGUGAGGGAUGAAAGCUGGGGGAGCAAACCGGAUUAGAUACCCGGGUAGUCCCAGCCGUAAACGAUGCAGACUCGGUGAUGGGUUGGCUUCGCGCUAACCCAGUGCCGCAGGGAAGCCGUUAAGUCUGCCGCCUGGGUAGUACGGUCGCAAGACUGAAACUUAAAGGAAUUGGCGGGGGAGCA